This 644-nucleotide ribosomal RNA is filed under the name Halopyrum mucronatum. RNAcentral's name for it is "eukaryotic LSU rRNA". The stretch from base 229 to 384 matches the Rfam family "5.8S ribosomal RNA". Lineage: Eukaryota; Viridiplantae; Streptophyta; Magnoliopsida; Poales; Poaceae. The record is from RNAcentral.
UGAACCUGCGGAAGGAUAUUGCCGUGACCCUGACGAAAAUAGACCGUGAACGUGUCAUCCGUGCUGCCGAGUGAUGGGGCACGCACCCGUCUGACGGUUGUGGAGGGGAGUGGCCCCAAAAGAACCCACGACGCUGUAUGGUGUCAAGGACCACCGACAUAUUGCCUUGCUCGGGGCCAUGACCGGCCUGCCGGAUGGGGCCCGUGCAGCGAUGCUGUGUUAAUCCACGACUCUCGGCAACGGAUAUCUCGGCUCUCGCAUCGAUGAAGGACGUAGCAAAAUGCGAUACCUGGUGUGAAUUGCAGAAUCCCGUGAACCAUCGAGUUUUUGAACGCAAGUUGCGCCCGAGGCCUUUUGGCUGAGGGCACGUCUGACUGGGCGUCAUGCCAAAAGACACUCCUCACCCAUCCCGGUGCGGACGUGGUGUUUGGCCCCUCGUGCUGUCGGGUGUGGUGAGCCAAAGUUGGGGCCUGCCGGUGGUGCUGAUCACGGCACAAGGUGGACGACGCAUGUUGUUCUCGGUGCCACGAUCUAAACCGAUUCCGGUGAUGCUAAUGGCCCUUUGGAUCCAUGGAUUGCGCGCGUGUUGCAUGACCCCAGAUCAGUCGGGAUUACCCGCUGAAUUUAAGCAUACAANACAAAAG